UAGUUAUGGUCUUGAAACUUAAAAAAUUUGGCGGUAUUUUAGUCUAUUCAGAGGAACUUGUUCUUUAAUCGAUAAUCCACGUUGGACCUUGCUUAAAUUUGUAAUCAGUUUAUAUACCGUCGUUAUCAGAAUAUUUUAAAAGAAAAAUAAUUUUCAUAAAUUUUUAAAUUAAUUUAUUUCAGAUCAAGGUGUAGUUUAUAUUUAAGUAGAAAUGAGUUACAAUAAAUUUAUUUAUUACGAAUAUAAUUAUGAAAAAAUUAUUGAAGGAGGAUUUGAUAGUAAAAUUAUAAAGAU
Molecule: ribosomal RNA, 294 nt
Filed under: Sphyracephala beccarii
Lineage: Eukaryota; Metazoa; Arthropoda; Insecta; Diptera; Diopsidae
Description: partial 12S ribosomal RNA
Source: RNAcentral